This 18-nucleotide non-coding RNA is filed under the name Arabidopsis thaliana (thale cress). The record is from RNAcentral. Lineage: Eukaryota; Viridiplantae; Streptophyta; Magnoliopsida; Brassicales; Brassicaceae.
UGAUGCUCUUAAUGGUCU